RNAcentral lists this long non-coding RNA (1238 nucleotides) under Strigops habroptila (Kakapo). RNAcentral's name for it is "lncRNA (ENSSHBG00005011562.1)". The record is from RNAcentral. Lineage: Eukaryota; Metazoa; Chordata; Aves; Psittaciformes; Psittacidae.
UAGUUAAGCAACUUCUUUUUUAUUUAAAUGAACUGGGAAACUGGGAAUUUUCUCAAAUUAAAAAUAGAAACUUUUAAAAAUUUGCAGUUCUGAACAUUACAUAUACACAUAUGCUACAUACUGGCAAUUAGAAAUGUUUCCAUUUAUGACCUAAAAAUGAAAAGUUUAAGGUUAUUCCAGGUUAAAGACUGGUAUCACUUUUCAGCAUGUCUUAAAAAUUACAUGACUGUUUGACAGAAUUACCCCUACUUCAAGCCAAUGAACCUUGUUGGAAACAAAGUUAACAAUACUGAUUGAUAUAUGAAGAGACACUAUUUUAGAUCAAUAUACACAAUUAAUUCACUCACCUUAAUGUUUUACUCUAGUAACAACAGAGAUACUUUUGGGCCUUGUUGAUGAAUUCUGCUGUUAACUAAUUCAGCAAUGCAAUUGUAUGCCUAAAUUCAAGGCAGUAACUCUAGUAGUAGAAAUGUUACCUCCAACUGUGAAACACAUUUGAAUUUCAGUAUUAGAAAUCAUAUUUUGAAAUUAUUUAGCAAAAAUAGUAUCGCUGCCCCCUGAAAGAGCCACAGCUUAACAGUGGUACUAUUAAGAACAUCACAGAAGUCAAUGUGAAUGAGGAAAAGGGAGGCAGAAGACAUAAAGCAUUCUAAAAAUCACCCACAUAUGGCAUUUCUCAUGCUCUUUUUGAGUACUACUGAACUCUAGAAAGCUUAGCUUUUCCACUAUAUUAUGCAUCACGGACACUCCCAACCCUCCCACCCGAAGAGUUUCAAAACAAACUUCUCCAAAAAUGUCCCUUUUAGGUCUACGCUGCGAAACCCACUAAAUAUUAAAUAAUUAAAAAAAGAGGGAGAAAAACAAAACUGCAACUGAAGUUCUUGGAGACACAAAGAGACACUGUGGAUCCCAUUACACUUCAAAUUUAGUCCAAAGUGAUCAUUCAAGAGCACCAAAUAGCAACACUGAUCAUGCUGGUAAAUUCAUUUGUGAAGAGCAUUAUACAAUAUUAAAAUCUUAACUAAACACUUAAGUUUUAAGAAAAAUGUAUAUACAAAAGUCUCUGUAUACAAAAUGUAUUUUUAUGUAAACGUGUAUGUACUGUGUUUAACACAAAUCAACAAUUUAAGAACUUGACCAGUUAUCAGAGGAUUGCUAGGUAAAGACUGUUAAUCUAAUUAAUUUCUAUACUGUGAUGUAAGGUAAAAAGCCCAGUGUAAAAAAGUAAAAAACGAAAA